AUGGCGGCGGCGGCGGCGGCGCUAAGGCUCGGCGGUCGCAUGCUGCUCCGACGAACUCAAGAGCAAGGGCGGCGCGUCUUCUCGGAUCCGCAACGGCGGCUCUUCGCGGACACGAGCGCCACCGCCCCUGAGGGGAAGCAACCUCUCGCGAUCCGCUUGGCGGAGAUGAAGGAGAAGAAAGAGGAGCUUUACAACAUGGGCUUUUCUUUGGCAACCGAGUACAAUCUCCCUUGCGGUGUCGGCAGAGAGAACAAACAGCUGCUGGAGCUGCUCUCGGUGCAAGUCCAGCCAAGGCCCAAUGAUGUCUACUGGAUGCGGCGGCGGAGGAUGGAGAGGAUGAAGCGAUUCGUGAAAAUUUGGGGGGUAUUUACUCUGGUGUGUACGACUGUGGACGGCCUGCAGAUGUUGAGCAAGGAGAUACGUACGCCUCAAACCAAGGAACGGGCUGGAUGA
Molecule: ribosomal RNA, 453 nt
Filed under: Triticum aestivum (bread wheat)
Lineage: Eukaryota; Viridiplantae; Streptophyta; Magnoliopsida; Poales; Poaceae
Description: partial small subunit ribosomal RNA
Source: RNAcentral